CCCUUAGAUGUUCUGGGCCGCACGCGCGCUACACUGACGAAUUCAACGAGAUUAUAACCUUUGCUGGGAGGCAUGGGUAAUCUUGUGAACGUUCGUCGUGAUGGGGAUAGAUUAUUGCAAUUGUUAAUCUUCAACGAGGAAUUCCUAGUAAACGCAAGUCAUCAGCUUGCAUUGAUUACGUCCCUGCCCUUUGUACACACCGCCCGUCGCACCUACCGAUUGAAUGGUCCGGUGAAUUCUUCGGACUGCGGCUUUGACUCGAUUUCGGUCGAGGCGUUGCUGCGGGAAGUUGAUUAAACCUUACCAUUUAGAGGAAGGUGAAGUCGUANCA
This 331-nucleotide ribosomal RNA is filed under the name uncultured eukaryote. RNAcentral's name for it is "partial 18S ribosomal RNA". It matches the Rfam family "Eukaryotic small subunit ribosomal RNA", at positions 1470 to 1796 of the family's 1831-position model. The record is from RNAcentral.